CUAGUAAACAAUAAAUGCGAAAGUGUGCUUGUUUGUUGGUUUAUUGGUUAGUCCUUCAAUCGCAUCGCAACGGAACAACGGAUCAACGAGAUUUCUUGCAUGGGUAUAGAUAAAGACCUGGCGAGUGACAUAGGCUACUUUUUAUCCCGAAAAAUCAAAGAAUUCCCACGGGAUAUUUUAAAAACCUAAAUCCACGCGGACGAAGUCAGUAAUCAGCGGGUAUCAGCCAGU
This is a long non-coding RNA of Maniola jurtina (meadow brown), 231 nucleotides long. RefSeq lists it as uncharacterized. The transcript has 2 exons. Lineage: Eukaryota; Metazoa; Arthropoda; Insecta; Lepidoptera; Nymphalidae. The record is from RefSeq and is a predicted model, not a curated record.